Non-coding RNA from Hordeum vulgare subsp. vulgare (domesticated barley), 136 nucleotides. The record is from Rfam. NCBI's taxonomy places the organism in Eukaryota, Viridiplantae, Streptophyta, Magnoliopsida, Poales, Poaceae.
UUUGUACUCCUUCCGUCCCAAAAUUCUUGUCUUACGUUUGUCUAGAAAUAAAUGUAUCUAAAUACUAAAACGUGACNNGAUACAUUCAUAUCUAGACAAAUCUAAGGCAAGAAUUUUGAGACGGAGGGUGUACUAU